AAAAAAUGAAAAUUAAUCAAAAUUUUAAAAAAAUAAAAAUUAAAAUCACAUAAUAAUUUAGAAAAAAAAAAUAUUUAACAUUUUUAAAAUAAUGAAUGAUUACAAAUAUUAAAAUAAAAGUGGAAGGGACAAUUUUUUUUGGAGGGGACCUCCAAAGUUUGAAUUUUGACGUCUCAUUUGCAAAGCACAAACGAAAAGACCAC
RNAcentral lists this long non-coding RNA (203 nucleotides) under Vigna radiata. RNAcentral describes it as "long non-coding RNA (VRAD_LNC009449)". Lineage: Eukaryota; Viridiplantae; Streptophyta; Magnoliopsida; Fabales; Fabaceae. The record is from RNAcentral.